This 2907-nucleotide ribosomal RNA is filed under the name Klebsiella sp. BDA134-6. Its description in RNAcentral is "23S ribosomal RNA". It matches the Rfam family "Bacterial large subunit ribosomal RNA". Lineage: Bacteria; Pseudomonadati; Pseudomonadota; Gammaproteobacteria; Enterobacterales; Enterobacteriaceae. The record is from RNAcentral.
GGUUAAGCGACUAAGCGUACACGGUGGAUGCCCUGGCAGUCAGAGGCGAUGAAGGACGUGCUAAUCUGCGAAAAGCGUCGGUAAGGUGAUAUGAACCGUUACAGCCGGCGAUGUCCGAAUGGGGAAACCCAGUGCAAUUCGUUGCACUAUCGUUUGAUGAAUACAUAGUCAAACGAGGCGAACCGGGGGAACUGAAACAUCUAAGUACCCCGAGGAAAAGAAAUCAACCGAGAUUCCCCCAGUAGCGGCGAGCGAACGGGGAGCAGCCCGGAGUCUGAAUCAGCUUGUGUGUUAGUGGAAGCGUCUGGAAAGUCGCAGGGUACAGGGUGAUACUCCCGUACACUAAAACACACAGGCUGUGAACUCGAAGAGUAGGGCGGGACACGUGGUAUCCUGUCUGAAUAUGGGGGGACCAUCCUCCAAGGCUAAAUACUCCUGACUGACCGAUAGUGAACCAGUACCGUGAGGGAAAGGCGAAAAGAACCCCGGCGAGGGGAGUGAAAAAGAACCUGAAACCGUGUACGUACAAGCAGUAGGAGCCCACUUGUUGGGUGACUGCGUACCUUUUGUAUAAUGGGUCAGCGACUUAUAUUCUGUAGCAAGGUUAACCGUAUAGGGGAGCCGCAGGGAAACCGAGUCUUAACUGGGCGUUAAGUUGCAGGGUAUAGACCCGAAACCCGGUGAUCUAGCCAUGGGCAGGUUGAAGGUUGGGUAACACUAACUGGAGGACCGAACCGACUAAUGUUGAAAAAUUAGCGGAUGACUUGUGGCUGGGGGUGAAAGGCCAAUCAAACCGGGAGAUAGCUGGUUCUCCCCGAAAGCUAUUUAGGUAGCGCCUCGUGAACUCAUCUUCGGGGGUAGAGCACUGUUUCGGCUAGGGGGUCAUCCCGACUUACCAACCCGAUGCAAACUACGAAUACCGAAGAAUGUUAUCACGGGAGACACACGGCGGGUGCUAACGUCCGUCGUGAAGAGGGAAACAACCCAGACCGCCAGCUAAGGUCCCAAAGUCAUGGUUAAGUGGGAAACGAUGUGGGAAGGCCCAGACAGCCAGGAUGUUGGCUUAGAAGCAGCCAUCAUUUAAAGAAAGCGUAAUAGCUCACUGGUCGAGUCGGCCUGCGCGGAAGAUGUAACGGGGCUAAACCAUGCACCGAAGCUGCGGCAGCGACGCUUAGGCGUUGUUGGGUAGGGGAGCGUUCUGUAAGCCGUUGAAGGUGGCCUGUGAGGGUUGCUGGAGGUAUCAGAAGUGCGAAUGCUGACAUAAGUAACGAUAAUGCGGGUGAAAAACCCGCACGCCGGAAGACCAAGGGUUCCUGUCCAACGUUAAUCGGGGCAGGGUGAGUCGACCCCUAAGGCGAGGCCGAAAGGCGUAGUCGAUGGGAAACAGGUUAAUAUUCCUGUACUUGGUGUUACUGCGAAGGGGGGACGGAGAAGGCUAUGUUGGCCGGGCGACGGUUGUCCCGGUUUAAGCGUGUAGGUGUGUGUUCCAGGUAAAUCCGGUUCACUUUAACACUGAGGCGUGAUGACGAGGCACUACGGUGCUGAAGUGACAAAUGCCCUGCUUCCAGGAAAAGCCUCUAAGCAUCAGGUAACAUCAAAUCGUACCCCAAACCGACACAGGUGGUCAGGUAGAGAAUACCAAGGCGCUUGAGAGAACUCGGGUGAAGGAACUAGGCAAAAUGGUGCCGUAACUUCGGGAGAAGGCACGCUGAUAUGUAGGUGAAGUGGUUUACCCAUGGAGCUGAAAUCAGUCGAAGAUACCAGCUGGCUGCAACUGUUUAUUAAAAACACAGCACUGUGCAAACACGAAAGUGGACGUAUACGGUGUGACGCCUGCCCGGUGCCGGAAGGUUAAUUGAUGGGGUUAUCCGUAAGGAGAAGCUCUUGAUCGAAGCCCCGGUAAACGGCGGCCGUAACUAUAACGGUCCUAAGGUAGCGAAAUUCCUUGUCGGGUAAGUUCCGACCUGCACGAAUGGCGUAAUGAUGGCCAGGCUGUCUCCACCCGAGACUCAGUGAAAUUGAACUCGCUGUGAAGAUGCAGUGUACCCGCGGCAAGACGGAAAGACCCCGUGAACCUUUACUAUAGCUUGACACUGAACACUGGUCCUUGAUGUGUAGGAUAGGUGGGAGGCUUUGAAGCGUGGACGCCAGUCUGCGUGGAGCCAUCCUUGAAAUACCACCCUUUAAUGGCUGGUGUUCUAACGUGGGCCCGUAAUCCGGGUUGCGGACAGUGUCUGGUGGGUAGUUUGACUGGGGCGGUCUCCUCCUAAAGAGUAACGGAGGAGCACGAAGGUCAGCUAAUCCUGGUCGGACAUCAGGAGGUUAGUGCAAUGGCAUAAGCUGGCUUGACUGCGAGCGUGACGGCGCGAGCAGGUGCGAAAGCAGGUCAUAGUGAUCCGGUGGUUCUGAAUGGAAGGGCCAUCGCUCAACGGAUAAAAGGUACUCCGGGGAUAACAGGCUGAUACCGCCCAAGAGUUCAUAUCGACGGCGGUGUUUGGCACCUCGAUGUCGGCUCAUCACAUCCUGGGGCUGAAGUAGGUCCCAAGGGUAUGGCUGUUCGCCAUUUAAAGUGGUACGCGAGCUGGGUUUAGAACGUCGUGAGACAGUUCGGUCCCUAUCUGCCGUGGGCGCUGGAGAAUUGAGGGGGGCUGCUCCUAGUACGAGAGGACCGGAGUGGACGCAUCACUGGUGUUCGGGUUGUCAUGCCAAUGGCAUUGCCCGGUAGCUAAAUGCGGAAGAGAUAAGUGCUGAAAGCAUCUAAGUACGAAACUUGCCCCGAGAUGAGUUCUCCCUGACUCCUUGAGAGUCCUGAAGGAACGUUGAAGACGACGACGUUGAUAGGCCGGGUGUGUAAGCGCAGCGAUGCGUUGAGCUAACCGGUACUAAUGAACCGUGAGGCUUAACCUU